RNAcentral lists this ribosomal RNA (525 nucleotides) under bacterium A4M_VP8_G6. RNAcentral's name for it is "bacterial SSU rRNA". It matches the Rfam family "Bacterial small subunit ribosomal RNA", at positions 337 to 854 of the family's 1533-position model. The record is from RNAcentral.
UAAUACGGGAGGCAGCAGUGGGGAAUAUUGCACAAUGGGCGCAAGCCUGAUGCAGCCAUGCCGCGUGUAUGAAGAAGGCCUUCGGGUUGUAAAGUACUUUCAGCAGUGAGGAAGGGGUGUCCGUUAAUAGCGUGCAUCUUUGACGUUAGCUGCAGAAGAAGCACCGGCUAACUCCGUGCCAGCAGCCGCGGUAAUACGGAGGGUGCGAGCGUUAAUCGGAAUUACUGGGCGUAAAGCGCAUGCAGGUGGUUUGUUAAGUCAGAUGUGAAAGCCCGGGGCUCAACCUCGGAAUAGCAUUUGAAACUGGCAGACUAGAGUACUGUAGAGGGGGGUAGAAUUUCAGGUGUAGCGGUGAAAUGCGUAGAGAUCUGAAGGAAUACCGGUGGCGAAGGCGGCCCCCUGGACAGAUACUGACACUCAGAUGCGAAAGCGUGGGGAGCAAACAGGAUUAAAUCCCCUGGUAGUCCACGCCCUAAACAAUGUCUACUUGGAGGUUGUGGCCUUGAACCGUGGCUUUCGGAGCUA